UAUUUUACCAUUUCCAGGUAUCCGCUGGCUUCGUGACCGAUACUUGCGAGCUGUUCAAUUUUACAGCACUGCCUUCAGUCCCAGAGGGGUUUGUACAGCUGGGAAAUCCUUCAGCGUGGUAUUACCACGGGACAAACAAAGUGUGGGAAGAAGCCAGGUCUUACUGUCGGUCUCUGGGCUCUUCCAUCUUUCUGACGACAAUUAAGGACGCCGAAGAGAACGCUGUGCUUGUUGAUUAUGUGCACGCCAAUGGUGGAACACAUUUUUGGACUGAUGGAAUCAAUGGCGGCGCCCACUGGGUCUGGAACCGUACUGGCGAGAACAUAACGUAUACCGACUGGGCAAGCGUUUCCAGCGGCACCGGAUGUUUGGUCAUUGCUGUAAGACCGGACACCAGUGACCCUACUCAUGGACAAUGGUACAAAAACGCUUGUCAUCACCCUUUUGAUUUCGUCUGUAAACUAUAUCACUCUUUUACCUGAAAAGCAGGUGUCAUGUCUGUGAAAUUUAUUCAAUGACACAAUAAAGACACCGAGCAGAGGUAAUCUGUACAUAUAUUAGUAGACGAGUUUUGAUAUAUAUGGUAAAUGAUAUUCACGGAAAUUUGCUCGUUUUAUUAUAAUUUUUUAUCGUUAUCUAUGAAAAAUUAAAAAGCCAAUGUCAAUAAUACGUAACCCAUUGUUUAACGUGUCCAACCAUAGAGGAGAUCGUCAGAGUACAAUAACGUAGAAAU
Lingula anatina is the source of this 733-nucleotide long non-coding RNA. Lineage: Eukaryota; Metazoa; Brachiopoda; Lingulata; Lingulida; Lingulidae. The record is from RefSeq and is a predicted model, not a curated record.